This 78-nucleotide transfer RNA is filed under the name Deltaproteobacteria bacterium. RNAcentral's name for it is "tRNA-Pro". It matches the Rfam family "tRNA". Rfam says of the family: Transfer RNA (tRNA) molecules are approximately 80 nucleotides in length. Their secondary structure includes four short double-helical elements and three loops (D, anti-codon, and T loops). The record is from RNAcentral. Lineage: Bacteria; Pseudomonadati; Myxococcota; Myxococcia.
CGGGGUGUAGCGCAGUCUGGCUAGCGCACCUGCUUUGGGAGCAGGGGGUCGGAGGUUCGAAUCCUCUCGCCCCGACCA